Molecule: ribosomal RNA, 482 nt
Filed under: uncultured bacterium
Lineage: Bacteria
Description: bacterial SSU rRNA
Rfam family: Bacterial small subunit ribosomal RNA
Source: RNAcentral
UUGAACGCUGGCGGAAUGCUUUACACAUGCAAGUCGAGCGGCAGCGCGGGGGCAACCCUGGCGGCGAGCGGCGAACGGGUGAGUAACAUAUCGGAACGUACCCAUUGGUGGGGGAUAACACAUCGAAAGAUGUGCUAAUACCGCAUACGACCUGAGGGUGAAAGGGGGGGAUCGCAAGACCUCUCGCCGUUGGAGCGGCCGAUAUCGGAUUAGCUAGUUGGUGAGGUAAAGGCCUACCAAGGCGACGAUCGAUAGCUGGUCUGAGAGGACGACCAGCCACACUGGAACUGAGACACGGUCCAGACUCCUACGGGAGGCAGCAGUGGGGAAUUUUGGACAAUGGGGGCAACCCUGAUCCAGCCAUUCCGCGUGAGUGAAGAAGGCCUUCGGGUUGUAAAGCUCUUUCGGCAGGAAUGAAACGGUGCGGGCCAAUACCCCGCAUCAAUGACGGUACCUGAAGAAGAAGCACCGGCUAACUACGU